Molecule: ribosomal RNA, 595 nt
Filed under: uncultured Ascomycota
Lineage: Eukaryota; Fungi; Ascomycota
Description: eukaryotic LSU rRNA
Rfam family: 5.8S ribosomal RNA (bases 217-370)
Source: RNAcentral
CUUGGUCAUUUAGAGGAAGUAAAAGUCGUAUCAAGGUCUCCGUUGGUGAACCAGCGGAGGGAUCAUUACCGAGUUUACAACUCCCAAACCCCUGUGAACAUACCAAUUGUUGCCUCGGCGGAUCAGCCCGCUCCCGGUAAAACGGAACGGCCCGCCAGAGGACCCCUAAACUCUGUUUCUAUAUGUAACUUCUGAGUAAAACCAUAAAUAAAUCAAAACUUUCAACAACGGAUCUCUUGGUUCUGGCAUCGAUGAAGAACGCAGCAAAAUGCGAUAAGUAAUGUGAAUUGCAGAAUUCAGUGAAUCAUCGAAUCUUUGAACGCACAUUGCGCCCGCCAGUAUUCUGGCGGGCAUGCCUGUUCGAGCGUCAUUUCAACCCUCAAGCCCCCGGGUUUGGUGCUGGGGAUCGGCGAGCCUCACGGCAAGCCGGCCCCGAAAUACAGUGGCGGUCUCGCUGCAGCUUCCAUUGCGUAGUAGUAAAACCCUCGCAACUGGUACGCGGCGCGGCCAAGCCGUUAAACCCCCAACUUCUGAAUGUUGACCUCGGAUCAGGUAGGAAUACCCGCUGAACUUAAGCAUAUCAAUAAGCGGAGGA